RNAcentral lists this ribosomal RNA (292 nucleotides) under uncultured prokaryote. Its description in RNAcentral is "partial 16S ribosomal RNA". It matches the Rfam family "Bacterial small subunit ribosomal RNA", at positions 505 to 796 of the family's 1533-position model. The record is from RNAcentral.
GUGUCAGCAGCCGCGGUAAUACGGAGGGUGCAAGCGUUAAUCGGAAUUACUGGGCGUAAAGCGCGCGUAGGUGGCUAAGUCAGCCAGGUGUGAAAGCCCCGGGCUCAACCUGGGAACGGCAUCUGGAACUGCUUGGCUAGAGUGCAGGAGAGGAAGGUAGAAUUCCCGGUGUAGCGGUGAAAUGCGUAGAGAUCAGGAGGAAUACCAGUGGCGAAGGCGGCCUUCUGGACUGACACUGACACUGAGGUGCGAAAGCGUGGGUAGCAAACAGGAUUAGAAACCCCGGUAGUCC